AAGUGCAUAUAAUUACGAAAACGCCACUAGAAUAGAAGCAAAAGAAGCCUUUCGAUUUGUUCACCUUCCUUCCUUGGUCGGUUGCAAAUUGCAAUCGUCACAACCGCCACCAUCCCACAAUCUUCCCAACUCUAGGGUCUCUCCAGUCUAGGUCUCAGUUUAUUUCAGAUGGCGAGAUACUCAGCUGGUACGGUUGAUUGUCCAGGCUCACCCAAAUCAGUACGAAUCGUUGUGGUUGGUGACAAGGGCACUGGCAAAUCCAGCUUGAUUGUCGCUGCAGCCUCUGAUUCUUUCCCUCCUAAUGUCCCUCCUGUGCUCCCUGAUACCAACCUUCCUUUGGAGUUCUUCCCUGACGGCGUCCCCGUCACCAUUGUUGACACCUCCUCUAGGCCGGAAGAUAGGGAGAUGGUUGCCGAGGAGUUGAGGAAUGCAGAUGCGGUGGUUUUGACAUACGACUGUGAUCGUCCUGAGACUCUCCAAGGUUUGACUACUUACUGGCUUCCAGAGCUUCGGCGUUUAGAGGUUAAAGUUCCUAUAAUAGUAGCAGGGUGUAAGCUUGACUUGAGAGACGACAAUAACCCAGUCAGCCUCGAACAAGUGAUGUCACCGAUAAUGCAUCAGUUUCGGGAGAUUGAGACCUGUAUCGAGUGUUCUGCCCUGAAACAACUCCAGGCACAAGAAGUUUUCUAUUAUGCACAAAAAACAGUUCUUCACCCAACAGGACCUCUGUUCGAUCAAGAAUCCCAAUCAUUGAAACCCCGGUGUGUAAGAGCUUUGAAGCGUAUCUUUAUACUCUGUGACCAUGACAGAGAUGGUGCUCUUAGCGAGGCUGAGUUAAAUGAUUUUCAGGUCAAGUGUUUCAAUGCACCCUUGCAACCUUCUGAAAUUGAAGGUGUAAAGAGGGUUGUGCAAGAAAAGUUGCCAGAAGGUGUGAAUGAAAGAGGACUGACAGUGACCGGUUUCCUGUUUCUACAUGCACUUUUUAUUGAGAAAGGGAGGCUCGAGACAACAUGGACUGUACUUAGGAAGUUUGGGUAUAACAACGAUAUAAGACUCGCUGAUGAAUUGCUUCCACCUUCAUUAUUCAAGCGAGCACCUGAUCAGAGUGUCGAGUUGACGGAUGUAGCAAUCGACUUCCUGAAAGGAAUGUAUGUGUUGUUUGAUGACGAUGGGGAUAAUAAUCUAAGACCUCAAGAGAUCGAGGAUCUUUUUUCAACUGCACCUGAAAGUCCUUGGACGGAAGCUCCUUAUGUGGAUGCGGCAGAGAAAACUGCCCUUGGAGGACUAUCGUUUGAUGCUUUCCUGUCACUGUGGUCACUGAUGACACUAUUAGAACCGGCUCGGAGUGUGGAACAUUUGAUUUACAUUGGAUUCCCGGGUGAUCCAUCUUCUGCAAUUCGUCUUACUAGGAGAAGACGUUUAGAUCGCAAAAAGCAACAAUGUGAAAGAAAAGUAUUCCAGUGCUUUGUUUUCGGACCCAAUAACGCUGGAAAAUCUGCAUUACUGAAUUGCUUUCUUGGAAGGUCAUAUGCUGAUAACGCGGGAUCAACCGCUGAUGAGCGCUAUGCAGUAAAUAUGGUCGAUGAAUCUGGGGGUGCAAAGAAAACGCUUGUGAUGAGGGAAAUGCCAGAAGAUGGGGCUAAAGGGCUAUUUUCAUCCAAGGAGUCGUUGGCUGCAUGUGACAUAGCUGUCUUCGUGUAUGACAGUGCUGAUGAAUCUUCAUGGAAGACAGCAACUGAGUUGCUUGUAGAAGUCGCAACUCACGGUGAGGCCACUGGAUAUGAGGUCCCUUGCCUCAUGGUUUCAGCGAAAGACGAUCUUGAUUCAUUCCCGAUCUCCAUACAAGAAUCCACCAGGGUGACGCAGGAUAUGGGAAUAGAGCCUCCGGUAUCCAUCAGCUCCAAAUUGGGGGACUUCAACAACUUAUUCCGCAAAAUACUAACAGCAGCGCAACAUCCUCAUCUGAGUAUUCCAGAGACCGAAGCGGGAAAAAGCCGCAAACAUUACAACAGGCUAAUCAACCGCUCUCUUAUGGCUGUCUCAAUUGGAGCUGCUGCUGUGGUCGUUGGGCUGGCUGCAUACCGCGUGUAUGCAGCAAGAAAGAGCACUUCUGCCUGAGAAGAUUGAGAAUGAAGAACCUAAUGUCUCAAGACAUGCUGUUGAAACAUAACCUGAUAACAAGUACAGUAUCUUUGUACACGAGCUCGUCCUGAUGGAACCAUUGGAGAGUACACAUGGAUGACAUAUGCGGAAACAGCUUCUGCUAGACAAGCCAUAGGUUCUGGACUUCUGUAUAAUGGAAUUAAUCUUGUAUGUUUUCUUUUUUUUAUAUUUUGUUUCCCUCAACCAUUGUUCUAAUUUGGAUAUGAAACGGCGAGCUUCACCAAAAUUUUCUUGUUUUAUUGAUCGAUAGUUUGCCUUAAUUAAAGACUAGAAUUAAUGGAA
Molecule: RNA transcript, 2445 nt
Organism: Raphanus sativus (radish)
Lineage: Eukaryota; Viridiplantae; Streptophyta; Magnoliopsida; Brassicales; Brassicaceae
Gene name: mitochondrial Rho GTPase 1
Exons: 17
Source: RefSeq, a predicted model, not a curated record